GGAGCUUGCUCCCUGAUGUUAGCGGCGGACGGGUGAGUAACACGUGGGUAACCUGCCUGUAAGACUGGGAUAACUCCGGGAAACCGGGGCUAAUACCGGAUGGUUGUUUGAACCGCAUGGUUCAGACAUAAAAGGUGGCUUCGGCUACCACUUACAGAUGGACCCGCGGCGCAUUAGCUAGUUGGUGAGGUAACGGCUCACCAAGGCGACGAUGCGUAGCCGACCUGAGAGGGUGAUCGGCCACACUGGGACUGAGACACGGCCCAGACUCCUACGGGAGGCAGCAGUAGGGAAUCUUCCGCAAUGGACGAAAGUCUGACGGAGCAACGCCGCGUGAGUGAUGAAGGUUUUCGGAUCGUAAAGCUCUGUUGUUAGGGAAGAACAAGUGCCGUUCAAAUAGGGCGGCACCUUGACGG
This 416-nucleotide ribosomal RNA is filed under the name Bacillus sp. (in: firmicutes). RNAcentral describes it as "bacterial SSU rRNA". It matches the Rfam family "Bacterial small subunit ribosomal RNA", at positions 75 to 475 of the family's 1533-position model. The record is from RNAcentral. Lineage: Bacteria; Bacillati; Bacillota; Bacilli; Caryophanales; Bacillaceae. RNAcentral also lists the same sequence under 1 other name.